UACGUAGGGUGCGAGCGUUGUCCGGAAUUAUUGGGCGUAAAGGGCUCGUAGGCGGUUUGUCGCGUCGGGAGUGAAAACCAGGUGCUUAACACCUGGCUUGCUUUCGAUACGGGCAGACUAGAGGUAUUCAGGGGAGAACGGAAUUCCUGGUGUAGCGGUGAAAUGCGCAGAUAUCAGGAGGAACACCGGUGGCGAAGGCGGCUACCUGGACCGGUUCUGACGCUGAGGCGCGAAAGCGUGGGUAGCAAACAGG
Molecule: ribosomal RNA, 253 nt
Filed under: uncultured bacterium
Lineage: Bacteria
Description: partial 16S ribosomal RNA
Rfam family: Bacterial small subunit ribosomal RNA
Source: RNAcentral